AUACAAUUUCUUUACCAAUAGAUAAGACUGAAAGCAACACCAGCCAGUCUUGGGAAAUAUAAAAUUGCAAAUAAAUUUUGAUAAUUUUUCAUUUUGUAAAGGAUCUUUCUGCUGAUGCAGCUGUUAAGAGUGUUUCAUAAACUGUGACACUGAGAGGCCAGGUGCAGUGCAUGUAAUCCCAGCACUUUGGGAGACUGAGAUGGGAAGAUCGCUUGAGGCCAGGAGUGCAAGACCAGCCUGGGCAACAUAGCAAGAACUUGACUCUACUAAAAAAAAAAAGGAUCCUUCAACUUCAACAAUAACAACACGAGGGAAGUGAAGAAAAACACUUUCUAAGGAAAUCUCUCUCUGAGCUACCAUCCGGCUAGGGAGAGCCUGAAAGCAGAAUGCUGACUUGACUAGCUCUGGCCAAUAAAGGAAAUCACCAGUGGAAAGGCUACCAGGGGGCUUCCUCAAAAGAGAGGGACGGU
Molecule: non-coding RNA, 470 nt
Filed under: Pongo abelii (Sumatran orangutan)
Lineage: Eukaryota; Metazoa; Chordata; Mammalia; Primates; Hominidae
Source: RNAcentral